RNAcentral lists this small RNA (28 nucleotides) under Bombyx mori (domestic silkworm). Its description in RNAcentral is "ovarian small RNA-11258". The record is from RNAcentral. Lineage: Eukaryota; Metazoa; Arthropoda; Insecta; Lepidoptera; Bombycidae.
ACCCAGUCAAGAGUUAUGAUGUAACAAA